UUGUGAGGGCUCUUUCUUAUUUUAUUUCUUUUCCCCCAGAUGAAGUUAACCUGAAAACGACACUCGUGAGCUCCACCUGCUACCAGAGAAAGCCUGCAAAGAUGGAUCAUUAACAGAAGCCGUGAAAAACAUAUGCGUAUUUGUCAGCAGACAAAAGGUGCACCACUGCCAGUUCAGAGUGACUUCACCUUGGCCUGUGGGUUUUUUUUUCGGUUUUAUAUCAGCAUAAGCAAGACCAGAAUCAGACUCUGGUUACUCUCCGAUAUGUUGAACCAGUUUUG
Molecule: long non-coding RNA, 281 nt
Organism: Athene cunicularia (burrowing owl)
Lineage: Eukaryota; Metazoa; Chordata; Aves; Strigiformes; Strigidae
Exons: 3
Source: RefSeq, a predicted model, not a curated record